Carassius gibelio (silver crucian carp) is the source of this 1358-nucleotide long non-coding RNA. RefSeq lists it as uncharacterized. NCBI's taxonomy places the organism in Eukaryota, Metazoa, Chordata, Actinopteri, Cypriniformes, Cyprinidae. The record is from RefSeq and is a predicted model, not a curated record. The transcript has 7 exons.
CUUUAGGUCAGAGAUGUAAACAGUUAAUCAAUCACCUCUGCUACACGAACAUUCCACAAUUGCUCAAAAAUCAGUGUACAUUUUGUUAGUUUAAAAUAUAUUAUGAUUAAAUAAAGUUAAUAAUGGCAAACAAUUAAUAAAACCGCACAGUGGGAAGAUUUACAGCAAAAGAAUAGCCUCUGCGAAACAAGCUGGCAGAAGGAGGAGGAGAGGAAAGCAGAGGAAACUGAAUUGUUCACAAAGUAUUAUAGCGAAUGAAAAGGAGGCAAAAAAAAAGAAGAUGACUAAUUUAAACACAUCCCAUGCUUCUACUACGGUACUGGCUUCCUGCAGAAGAUGAAGUCUUGCUGCAGAAGCUCAGAGAAGAAUCGAGGGCAGUGUUUCUCCAGAGGAAAAGCCGGUAACUACUGAACAAUGAAGAGUUACAGCAUCAAGUGCCGCCCACGAGUGGUGACGAGGCCAUGAUCAGUUAUAAGAGUUUCCUAAAGGUUGGAGAAAAAGCAGGUGCCAAAUGCAAGUGCGUGCAUCAUAGAAAAGUGUAUCAAUGAUUGUCACUCGAAACCAUGAGUAUGACAGGCUGAAAACUGUUUUUCUUCACCGCCCAAGUCUACGCCAAACUACUUCAUAAUGAUCCAUAUGGGAGGAUAUCAAUUAUGCAGUUCUUCAAUUAUGUCAUGAGAAAAGUGUGGCUGCACCAGACCAGGAUUGGUUUGAGUCGUUAUGAUGUAGCAGGUCAGGCUUAUCUCUGAGUCUGAUUUGGAGUUAAUUCCCACACUCCCCCAAUCUUUCUACUCAUUUUAUGUUUGCACUGCUGUUCACAAGUUCUUCUUCUUCCUUGAUCCUCUACAUACUGGUAAUUCUCCUGUGGUUGUGCUGGUACAAUUCGCAUUUUGAUUUACGUCAGAGCACCUGCAGACAUUAUUUAGAUUUUACCCUGCGGAUAAACUGGAAUGAAAAGAAGAAUCAUUCUAAUGUUUUGUAACACAAAUUAAUUAAGGCAAACAGUCAUUGUAUAAAGCAGUCUAUUAACCUGUAUGGAGAUGGGUGUUUUGGGUCAUAAAAUGAUCAAAAUUUUGUGUCUAUAGGAUGAAAUCUUUUAUAUGGUGAAGUUUAAAAAUCCAUGUUAAGAUCAUACUACAGGACCUGGUGACCAUCGCUCAGGGUGAAACUGUCACUAGCAUCCUCAUCGACCUCAAUGGCUUCUGGACUUAUGACAUAGACAGCAACACAGUUGAUUUAGAUGACACGUGACAUCAUUCCAUGAACAAAUCAAGUUGUGCUAUUGGACCAAUUGAGCUACUCUGAACGAGGAAAAAAAAAAUCAGCCAAGAGGAAUACACAGAACAGCUCAUUUGUAU